Molecule: transfer RNA, 69 nt
Filed under: Capra hircus (goat)
Lineage: Eukaryota; Metazoa; Chordata; Mammalia; Artiodactyla; Bovidae
Also listed under: 1 other name
Rfam family: tRNA
About the family: Transfer RNA (tRNA) molecules are approximately 80 nucleotides in length.
Source: Rfam by way of RNAcentral
CCUGAUGGCUUAGUUGGUAAAGAAUCUGCCUGCAAAGCAGGAGACCCUGGUUCAAUUCCUGGGUCAGGA